AAUGGUUAACAUAAUGAAUGUUAAAAUUAUUUUCAUAUUGAAUUUAUAUAUAAUAAUUAUGUGUUGCAGAUCUGGGCGUAUGAAACCGUCCCCAUAUUGGGUGCUCGCUUUGCGAGGCGAGGGGAGAUACGCUACCCUUGGUGCACCAUUGGAGAGCAUCUCAAUUGGAGGGAUGUCUACUGGGAAAUAGUUAUCGACUAUCCUCGACGACCCUCAGGUGAGUAUUAUGCAUUUAUAAUUUAUAUUGUGCGUGAUUUAACAUCUGAUUGCAUGAUCGUUAACUAGUUCUAAUGUUAAUAUGUCAGCUUGAAAUCAUAACUGAGUUGACGCCGUCGAUGGAGUAAGAGGUUCAGGAUCUUAUGCAUGAAUUAGGCGUUUCGCAUACCUAAGAAGAGCAGAUGUCUGAUCUGAUCCACGACUGAGAUUGGGUGAGCGAAUUGAAUAAAAUUUAUUGAUUACCGUUUUGUAUGAGUUAGCAAUUACAGAUUAAGUUAAUAAUUUGUAAUGUUGUUACUUGUGUAGGAGCGUAAUCCAGUUGAUCGACGAUCACCUUUGUCGAGGGCAUCACUACCUCCGCUGAGGAUUUCUCCUCCUCCACCGGGGAUGCCGCCGAGGGUAUCUCCUCCGCCACCCCCAUCCAGAGACCUUUUCCGUAGAUCUCCCACACAUAGUCAGGGGCACUAUUUUUGCUGAUCUGUAUCCCGUCUGAGCAGAUUUAUAGCUGGACAGGUCGACGGUCUGCAUCGAGAGAUGAUAGAGAGGGUUGAUGAUCUGUGACAACAGUUGGUAGAAAGGGUAGAAGAUUUGUCGAAUGAGAUUGCAGCACUUCGAGGUGAUAUAGCCGGUAGGCAAUGGGUUGAUGGAGACGGUGAUCGAGAGGGUGAUAGAGAUGGGGAUCUCCGUUUUGAAGAACCAAUGCAUCGACAAAUCAUUCUCGUUAUCAACUAUGCCGAAUGCAAGAGGGUAAAUUUUGAUAUUGGCAUCUUGACAUGUAACAAUAAUCAACUUGCCUUGGUAUUUGGAUUUCAAAGUUGUACUGUCGACCAGAAUUAGAGGUCGCAUAGCAUUUCGAAAUCCCCGAAUGCAUUGUCUAAAAGCCAUAAAGAAGAAUUUAAAGCAGUUCUCGACCUCCGUCUCAAUAAAAAAUAUCGAGUCAAGAUUAGUUUUCUCCAUGUUAUGGCAAUACCUGACCAAUUUAGCAUAGCUUUCUUAUAUCGAGC
Molecule: long non-coding RNA, 1220 nt
Filed under: Olea europaea subsp. europaea
Lineage: Eukaryota; Viridiplantae; Streptophyta; Magnoliopsida; Lamiales; Oleaceae
Source: RNAcentral